This is a long non-coding RNA of Xiphophorus couchianus (Monterrey platyfish), 4096 nucleotides long. RefSeq lists it as uncharacterized. The transcript has 3 exons. The record is from RefSeq and is a predicted model, not a curated record. Lineage: Eukaryota; Metazoa; Chordata; Actinopteri; Cyprinodontiformes; Poeciliidae.
UAAGAUCAAAUUUUUUUAUUCUAUCUUAGAAACAAUUUUAAUAUUUACUCAUCUGUUACGACUUGUGCUGAGUAAAAUAUACCACAAAUGCACAUAAGUGUAUGACACACCAUUUUAUUUUCAUUAAAGGGAUUCAAGGCCUUCACAAAAAGGGGUUGACUCUUGGUAACUAUAGAGUACUAACACAACACAUGACAACAAUGAAACCUCAACACAAAUAACCCGUGAGAACAAGUGAAGACACAAAUAAAUAGGAGAUUUUAAGGACAUUUCAUAUGAGUUGCAUCAACAGAACCAGAGGAAAAACGUGAGCAGAGCCUACAUCUCUGUAAAAGUACAAUAAAGGCUUCUGUACAAUAUUUGAUUUGUUUCUGAGUAGCUGAUUGUCUCUAUAGCGCCAUCUUUUGGUCAUGCACAGCAGGUUCAAGUCUGUAGUAGUUCUACAUUUUCUCCCCCACCUCUGAUUGUCUCUUUGAAGUGCUAGCAUUUUAGUAUGAGGUGCAGGAAUUUCUGAUUGUCCCUCGCUGGAAAAAAGUGUCAUUAGUGAUGUAUAAAACAGUUUAAAAGACUUUGUGAAUCAGUUUUUAAUCGCUUUACAAGCUGCUACUGUUUUAUUAACUGACUGGAUAAACAUAUUCCCCAAAUUAAUAUCAAAUAUAGAAGAAAUUUGCUGCAGAUUCUAUGUUUCAGGGCUAAACCUAUAACAGAAUGGCAAAAUUGUUAUUUUUGAUCAAUUGUCUUGUGCUUUAAGGAUGAUUGGAGCCCAGAUCAUGCUACAUUCUUUCCUCUAAUAACGCUUUACAGUCUUCCACAGUUACGUUGUUCCCCCACAGAUGUCUGUACAAAAAUAUGCAGCCUCAAUGCAGUCAGGAUAGGCAGGAUUUACACUUUUUAUGGUAGAUUUUUAAAGUUUUAAGUACAAGUGAUUGUCUAAAAUCUUCACAGUAGUCUCACAGCUUAGGGAACAAGCUAGUUUAUCACAAUAUGGUUAAGCUGCUCAAGUAACAAGAGACAGUGGUUGCAUUUCACAAUACACCUGAAAUAUGCUGGUAUUUACCUGGGAUGAAUUAUUUGUGUGUGCGGCACAGCUUUGCACUUUUCUCAGAUUCAAAUGUAUCAAAAUGAUUAGCAGUUUUUCUAAAAAUAAAAAUCAAAACCUUGAGUUUUGAAUUAAUUCUUGAAAAUGUUAAUUCUCCAGUUCCUUACGGUUACAGACAAUGGAUGGAUGGAUUAUCUGGGAGACCAACACAAGGUAUUGCAUAACUGUGAAUAGGAACAAAAAUCACUGCAAAAACAAAAUCUUACCCAGUAAUUUUUGUCUAGUUGAAAUAAGACAAAACUAACUUGCAAGUAAUUUUUCGACAAGACAUACCAACUUGAUUGGUUCCUUAAUAUUGAUGGAAAAGUAAUAGUUCAAUUGUCAGAUUAUUUAACUUAUGACAUUUUUGUCCGUUUAUAUCAAAGAAUUAUUGGCUUAAAACAAGUCUUUAUAUUUUGCUGAAAAGUUACUUAUGAGUUAAUCUUGUCUUAUUUCAAAUAUAUUAAGAUAUUUGUACUAGAAACUGGAUCAAAAAUACGUAGAUGAAAUUUUGUGUUUUUGCAGUGUACCAAAUUAGAAACUAAAUCUGGGUAUGAGUGAACUCUGUCCUUCGACGCUGCAGUUAGACUUUAGGUUUCAGAUCAUUAUUGCUCAGCAGACGGUUAAUUUAAAGCGGACAAACUGCUGACAUUUCUGUUGUUGACAAGUCAAAACGCGAACAAGCCGCACCCUGUCAGCAGCAGGUUGAGUCAACGUCCCGAUCCCCAGGUUUCCAGGUCUAGUUCCACAGAAAGCUCCCAACUUCACACUUCAAAACUGAUCACUUAAAACCUAAACUGCUGUAAACACUUAGAGAAUAAGUAGACAUGUUCCAACACUGCAAAAAGAAAAUCUUAACAAAUAACUUUUCAGCGAGACAAACAAGCUUGUUGUACGUAAAUAAUUCCUUAAUGAUGAUGAAAACGUACUGCUUAUGAAAUAAGAAAAAUGUCUUAUGAUAAGUAAAAUAUUCUGCCAGUGGAUCCAGUACAUUUUUAAAAUCAAUUUUCCCAAAUUAUUGACUCACAAGCUACCAUAUCCUGUUAAAAAGUUACUUAUAAGAUAGUUUUGUCUUAAUUAAAGUAAGAUAUUUGCACUAUAAACUAUACUUGGUAAUAUUUCGUUUUUUGCCGUGAAGUUUCAAAACCAGCAACAGUCUAAAGUUUUCUUAAUGAGUUUCUCAGGCUACAUCAACGCACUGUGCCCCUUCCCCACCUGUUGCUGUGCACUGGUGGUCACAGUGCACAAUAGUCAAGAUAGUCAAUCGAUAGGUUGACUAUCUUGGUCAAACAUGUAAAAAACGAUUUGGGCGUUUCUGUCGCCAAAAACACAAACAGUCAUGGUUUACAGAGUAAAAAUGUUGCAUUUUUCUGUAAUAGCUGCCAUCUGUUCUGAACGAUAUAACAAACACAUUUUUUUGUUUUCUUUCAAAAAAAUUGACUAAUAACUAGAGUUUGUAGUCAACCUAUUAUUUUUGUCAGUUUCUUUAUUAUUGUACUUGUGCUGAUUUAUCAAAUAGAUUUGUAAUUUAGUACCUUUAUGUCUCUGUUUAAAAAAAAGAGAAGCAUUUUAAGUCUUUUCAAAUCUGUUUUUCUGUAUGAGAUAUGUAUCGGCCAAUACGAAACCUCAGAUAUCUGUAUCGGACGUGAAUACAGUGAAUACAUCCUUGUAUUCACUUCCGAAAUAAAUAAAAAAACACAAAUUAUUCAUAAUCUCUUGCAGGAUGGGGCAGAAAGUGAUUUUGCUUUUUUUUUGUUUUGUUUAACGCAGACAAAUAAUGCAUUCAGUUACAAGGAAGCUGUUUUAAAACUACUAUAAAACUAGAGCAAGGCUGUGAUACCUAUUACUGAGCACUGCUCGUCAGCUGGCUGAACAGAAGGACAUUUUCUUCCCUUACAAGGAGGAUAAGUUUGAAAAUAUUUCAGGUUACAUUUUUUGUGUAGAAAAAGUGAAAUUCCAAAAGUAAGAUAUAGCAUUAGGUAAAACCAAUAUAUGCAACGUUUCACUUUUUUCACUUCCGAUACUGAUAUCGAUAUCUGAGGUCUAGUAUCGGCUGAUGUUGAUACAAUACAAACAGCUGAAUUUACUUUGAGCAUUUUUGUUUUAAACACAGACAUAAAUCUACUGAAUUACAAGUUUAUUUGACAACUCUGCACCAGCACAGCGCCCUGUCAUAUUGCAAGCUGCGUCAAACGUAAAAACAACUUUAUUUUGUACAGUCAGUUCAAUUAGGAGUAAAACAGCCAAUGUAAAAUAAACACCAAUAAAUAAAAUGAAUCUGACAAAAACAAUAGACAUGUCAAAAUAAACUGCAACAAACCAUUCCAAUUGUUCAGAAAGUGCAGUUAGAAAUUAUAAAUAUAAUCUCAAAUAAAAAGUAGAUUUAGACUGAAUAGUUCUGCUAUUAUGGAUCGGCUACAUUCUCUGAAUUCUUUUCAAUAUCAGUCCCGAUACAUAUAUUAAUAUCGGAUCGGUGUAUUUCUCAUAAAUAUAUCACCACCAGAGUUUAAAUUAAACCUGUGUGAGAAAUUGCUGUAAUUGGCUUCGUUUUAACUGGGAUCUGUGUUAACGCGCUGCGCACUGAGGUCAGUGUACCUCAUUACUGUCAUCUGCACAGACUGACCGCAGUGAUUGGUUUCUGCUCGGGCGCACAGUGGACACUGCCUCCUCAUUUGGCCCCGGGGCCCUGCGCAGCCACAUCCAGUCAGCGGUGGCUCCCUGAUCCGGGGGCCGCAUCCCUCUGCAGCAACGACGCAUUUUCUGCUGCUUUUCGCCGCUAUGGGCCUUUUUGGAACGGAGCGGGAAUAUUUAGAUAAGAUAUAAGAUAAUGGAUGAUUUGCACCCGGAAGUGGAGUUGUUUGGCCGCCGGAGGCGCCAAUAAAGAUCACGACCUGUCAAAAUAUGCAAACUGAUUUUGUUUGUGGUGCUGUGCUUAAUCAGGAAGCUGUAAACCAGUUUGCUGCUGCUGCUGCUGCUGCUGCGUCAUGGCGCUGGUUUGAGCUUUGCGUGCGUUAACGC